Molecule: ribosomal RNA, 301 nt
Filed under: uncultured bacterium
Lineage: Bacteria
Description: partial 16S ribosomal RNA
Rfam family: Bacterial small subunit ribosomal RNA
Source: RNAcentral
CAGUAGCCGCGGGAAUACGGAGGGUGCAAGCGUUAAUCGGAAUUACUGGGCGUAAAGCGCACGCAGGCGGUCUGUCAAGUCAGAUGUGAAAUCCCCGGGCUUAACCUGGGAACUGCAUUUGAAACUGGCAGGCUAGAGUCUUGUAGAGGGGGGUAGAAUUCCAGGUGUAGCGGUGAAAUGCGUAGAGAUCUGGAGGAAUACCGGUGGCGAAGGCGGCCCCCUGGACAAAGACUGACGCUCAGGUGCGAAAGCGUGGGGAGCAAACAGGAUUAGAUACCCGAGUAGUCCCUGUCUCUUAUAA